Molecule: ribosomal RNA, 460 nt
Filed under: uncultured bacterium
Lineage: Bacteria
Description: partial 16S ribosomal RNA
Rfam family: Bacterial small subunit ribosomal RNA
Source: RNAcentral
CCUACGGUGGGCAGCAGUGAGGAAUAUUGGUCAAUGGACGAGAGUCUGAACCAGCCAAGUAGCGUGAAGGAUGACUGCUCUAUGGGUUGUAAACUUCUUUUAUAAAAGAGUAAUACCAGGUACGUGUGUCUUUUUGCAUGUAUCUUACGAAUAAGGAUCGGCUAACUCCGUGCCAGCAGCCGCGGUAAUACGGAGGAUCCGAGCGUUAUCCGGAUUUAUUGGGUUUAAAGGGUGCGUAGAUGGGUGGUUAAGUCAGUUGUGAAAGUUUGCGGCUCAACCGUAAAAUUGCAAUUAAUACUGGAAGACUUGAGAACAGAUGAGGUAGGCGGAAUUCGUGGUGUAGCGGUGAAAUGCUUAGAUAUCACAAAGAACACCGAUUGCGAAGGCAGCUUACUAAACUGUGACUGACAUUGAGGCUCGAAAGUGUGGGGAGCAAACAGGAUUAGAUACCCGUGUAGUC